Molecule: long non-coding RNA, 1975 nt
Organism: Drosophila yakuba
Lineage: Eukaryota; Metazoa; Arthropoda; Insecta; Diptera; Drosophilidae
Exons: 2
Source: RefSeq, a predicted model, not a curated record
AACAGAAUAAUUAACAUUUCUUUUAUUGCUUAAGCAUAUCGCUGUCAUUCAAGAUUUACUUAAUCGAGGAAGAAAAAGAAUUGUUUAUCCCCAACGCUGAAUUUGCGAAUAGGGGGAGUGUAUCAAGAUCACGUUAUCAAAAAAUUCUAACACUGAAUCGGCAAUAUCCUGGUGUUACGAUUUCAUUUCCGGUGGUAAGGUACCCCCAGGUGUCGUAAUUGAAUACUUGUAUCAUGUCUUCAAAGAGAUUAAAGAGAAUCUCAAUAAAAACUGGGUAUCUUACAAUGUUACUAGGAUUACGUCGUCCUUUCAUGGGCCUCUUCAGUUUAGGGCACCUUUGUGCGGCAGCUUCCAUUGAGAUGAUUGAGCUUUGGUUUCCACUUCAUAACCAUAAACCCACGAUUCGUGACCACGACGCCACAGUCAACAUUCGGAAUGCAUCCGCCCACUUAAUUUUGUUUUUUACACAAAAUUGGAUACAGGUUCUUUGACCCAUUUUUUUGAACAGGUAAUAAUCGAAGACGAUCCAAAACACGUGCAUGCAAAUCAACUGUCAACAAUUAAGUGUACAUUCAAAAUGGCCCAGCUUGUCGGCAUAAGGGACAGACAGGAGUACCAACAAACCGCCACAAACAAAUCAAAAUUCGUGAAAAAUUAAAAAAUUCGCGAUACUUUGCGAAAUUCGGGAAAUAAUAUGUAUUUAUUCUAAAUCUACUAUUAAUUAGUUACAGGGGCGCCGAGCGUGGGCGUGGUCGCAUUUUUUUCACAAAUUAUCAAUGCUAUUACAAUAAAAUGUGUGAAGUUUAAACCAUGUAACUCAAUUUUUCGACUUUAUGCGCAAAAAUCUAAUUCUGCAGUGGUUGUACGUACUAAAUAGGUAUUAAAUGUUUCGAUACUUCUACAUUGCAGCCCUAAUUACAAUGUAACCCUAGACAAGAGCAAGUUAUCGAUAGGAAGGGAGCGAGUGUAGAGUCGAGAGUCAAGUGGAAAAUUUGUCAAAAGCGGUUGUUACUAAAUCUAAAUUUCGUCAUAAGUCUAUAUAAUUAAAUGUUAAGCUAUAUUUUUUGUUUAAAUAAACCAUAUAAGCGGAAAACUUGCCCUCGUCCUUGCAGUACUUCGAUUAAAUGUUGGUGACUACAAACAAAAUUUUGUACUUGUUAAAGAUUUUCUAUAAAAAACACAUUUGGAUUUAGAAUUGACCUUUGAGCAGAUCUGCUGCGUCGUUGUCGUUCUUUUGCCUAAAUUGGCAGUAUGAUUUAAGCGCAUAAUUAAUGAAAAGAAAUAACCGAAAAAGUAUUGUCGAGACCAAAAAACGUUUAGAAAACGUAUUACCUGUCAAGAUUAUUGGGAAAUAAUGACCCGGGAGAAGUUCUCUAUUGGUUUUGCGCUCCAACAAUUUUUCUUGAAGUUAAAGUUAUGCUAACGAAUCGGUCGGAUGCGGAAAUAUAGACCUUGAGGUCGCGUUUCCACUCUUCAAUAAUGCAAUCAUGCUCGCUCAUGAUUCCAUUCUGGACAUUGCAACAAAUGCCGCAUGCAUAUACAUUGCGCACAAGAACAAUUCAGAGAACAGGGCUGGUUACAAGCCCAGAAAGGCAAGGAGACAACAGAGAGCCGAGAAAAGCCUCCCUGCUGGUUGCACAAGCAAUCGGCGACAAACGCCUUGGAAUGGCACGGUCUAUUCUCUGACUAGAGCUUCAAAUUACCGCAAGCCGAUAUUGACGACCCAGAGAAAGCAGCUAACGGCUCGAUCGCCCAUUUCAAAUCCAGGCGUCAUCGGUGCUGUCAAUCCAAUAUAAAAAUUGUCUUUAAGUAGCCUGGGAGGCGAGAAGAGGAAGUCAGCAGGAUGGUAAAACCUAAGCCACCGCUAUACGCCGCGCUGAGCCCUAGUGGCUCGGCGAUUGUUAAAAAGUUUAAAAGUUAAAAAUUUUACUGAAUCGAAGUUGCCAGAAGCAGUAACGUAGUGUAAAGCAUCGUU